RNAcentral lists this ribosomal RNA (253 nucleotides) under uncultured bacterium. RNAcentral describes it as "partial 16S ribosomal RNA". It matches the Rfam family "Bacterial small subunit ribosomal RNA", at positions 524 to 776 of the family's 1533-position model. The record is from RNAcentral.
UACGUAGGGUGCGAGCGUUGUCCGGAAUUAUUGGGCGUAAAGGGUGCGUAGGCGGUCGGGUAAGUCUGAUGUGAAAUCUCACAGCUUAACUGUGAAACUGCAUUGGAUACUAUCCGGCUCGAGGAAUGGAGGGGAGACUGGAAUACUUGGUGUAGCAGUGAAAUGCGUAGAUAUCAAGUGGAACACCAGUGGCGAAGGCGAGUCUCUGGACAUUUCCUGACGCUGAGGCACGAAAGCCAGGGGAGCAAACGGG